GUCACAGCGGAGCGGGAAACACCCGGACACAUUCCGAACCCGGAAGUUAAGCCCUCCAGCGCCGAUGGUACUGCCCCGGAGACGGGGUGGGAGAGUAGGACACCGCCGGAC
Molecule: ribosomal RNA, 111 nt
Filed under: Streptosporangiales bacterium
Lineage: Bacteria; Bacillati; Actinomycetota; Actinomycetes; Streptosporangiales
Source: RNAcentral